This 665-nucleotide long non-coding RNA is filed under the name Oryctolagus cuniculus (rabbit). RNAcentral describes it as "lncRNA (ENSOCUG00000039580.1)". Lineage: Eukaryota; Metazoa; Chordata; Mammalia; Lagomorpha; Leporidae. The record is from RNAcentral.
GUGAACCUUAUCACAUUUUAAUUCUGUGGUCACUUAUCUUACAGUUCUCUAACUUCUCUUGUCCACUUUCAUUUAAACAUGUAAGUGUCCAAUCAAAUAUUCUUUCCACAGUAUCUGAACACAAUCUAUGGCCAAUUCCAUCUCUCUUAUUAGCAGGAGAUUGUAUUUUAACCUUAUGGACAUUCAUGUACAUUGAAAUACCAUUUCAGUGUAGUAAUAUAAGAUUUUGUUUAAUAUUUGAAAUCAUUGAGCUUACUUUUUUUUUCAAAAUAUUCUAAUCUAGACCAAUUCCAGGCCUGUGAAUCUGUUGUCAUCAUGACAUAAAUUUUCAUUGUGAGAUCAUCCUCAGCUCCAACAUUCUAUAAGCUCUCCUGGAAACCUUCAGAUUCAUAGUGCCUCAGAGCCACUUAGUCAAGGGUAAUAAUUCUCCACAAGUGUAUGUGUAGAAAUGAGUAAUUUGGUAUGAACAAUGGAGUGAAGCAUAUUUGUUAUAUCAUUGGAAAAGAUGUCCCUGACAAUUCCUUCACAUUAAAAUAUGGCAAAAUUUCAUGCACUAAGCCCAGAAAAUAUCAUGGAAGAGUAAGCAUAAAGAGAGGAGACAUGUGAUGCUAUGAGACUACUAGCAGAUAAAUAAAAGUGCCUAGGUGUGGGAAGGCUUCUCUGAG